CCUACGGGUGGCAGCAGUGAGGAAUAUUGGUCAAUGGACGAGAGUCUGAACCAGCCAAGUAGCGUGAAGGAUGACUGCCCUAUGGGUUGUAAACUUCUUUUAUAUGGGAAUAAAAUGUUCCACGUGUGGGAUUUUGUAUGUACCAUAUGAAUAAGGAUCGGCUAACUCCGUGCCAGCAGCCGCGGUAAUACGGAGGAUCCGAGCGUUAUCCGGAUUUAUUGGGUUUAAAGGGAGCGUAGGUGGAUUGUUAAGUCAGUUGUGAAAGUUUGCGGCUCAACCGUAAAAUUGCAAUUGAAACUGGCAGUCUUGAGUACAGUAGAGGUAGGCGGAAUUCGUGGUGUAGCGGUGAAAUGCUUAGAUAUCACGAAGAACUCCGAUUGCGAAGGCAGUUCACUAGACUGCAACUGACACUGAGGCUCGAAAGUGUGGGUAUCAAACAGGAUUAGAUACCCGAGUAGUC
RNAcentral lists this ribosomal RNA (460 nucleotides) under uncultured bacterium. RNAcentral's name for it is "partial 16S ribosomal RNA". It matches the Rfam family "Bacterial small subunit ribosomal RNA", at positions 338 to 795 of the family's 1533-position model. The record is from RNAcentral.